AUUUAUAAUACGCAAUGAUAUGUUAUUUUAUUUCAUUUAUUUUAUUGUAUUAAGUAAUAUUUACAAUUCCAUGAUGCAAGAUAUACGCAAAAACAACGUUUAUUAAUUAUUCAAUUUUAUUAUCACAACAACCGUUUUCCAAUUGCAACUUUUCGUGCAUUUCGAUGACAUAUGUACGACUUGAUGUAGUAGGAAAAGUACUCCAAAAUAUGGUUCGUCGAAUUUGUUUCUGAAAAAAGUCCUGGAAGCCAUUGAAUGAUGAUAUGUUCAGAGUUUAAUUGUAUCAACUAAAAAAAAAAAUUAGAUUUCCUUAAUAAUUUAAGAAAUCAUAUCAUUCUUAUUGGAAAACCUCUUUAUAUUAGUUCUAAUUGAGCAGUUCACAAUAGUAAAUGGAAAGGUUUGAAGUUUUUGACAUUUGUUGUUGAGCGCGCCUAAAUUAAUUUCGUCGGCUUGGUUUUUAAAUGUUAACAUUAAGAAAUUAAGAAUUGUUAUGAAUAUUUUAUAUUGAAGAAAAAUAUGAGUGCAAGCGAUGGUGUAUUUAACAAUUUACGACAAAAACUUGAUGUGCUGGGAUACACACAGACUUUGCCCUUGGCUGGUAUACCCUUGGUUGCAGCGCUCUUUGAGGAUUUGGUUAAAUCGACGGAGAGUCUAAGAGAUGCAAAGAAAAAAAUUGUCGACCUGUUGGAGGAAAAGUCUUGUUGGGAAUUAGGUGUAGAACCAUAUAAGUGUGACAAUUCACGUCUCUUGGCUGAAUGUAAUCAGCUGCAUCAACAAAAUUUAAAGGAUCGAGAAGAUUAUGAGCAACGAAAUUUUGAAUUAGGUCAGAAAAUCCGUAAUCUAGUUACGGACAAAUUUCACCUAGAGGAACAAUGCCAGCAGCUACAGCAACAACUGUCUUCACUAUUAGCCAAACAUCAGAGUACAGUAACUGGGCCAAAUAUGAGAAAUGUUAAAGACAAAGCCAAAAAGCCGUUUGUAAGUACGGUGCGAUCAGGUGAACGCAUUCCACCACUUUUGGAGUCUGGCGGCAAUAUACGUUGCACCAAAUGUACCAGCCAAACUACUCGUCCACAUGCGGCAGAUAGUGCAAGCGUUGGAGUUGACAAAAUGCCUAGUGCAGCGUUAAAAAAUGAAAUAGACAGAUUGGAAGAUAGGGUAAAGAAUUUAUUGGACCAACUCGAGUUCUAUAAGCGCAAGAUUGAAUCUCGCGAUCGAGAAAUUCGCCGUUUGAACGAGUUGCUGACAGGUGGUCGUCCGCCUGCUGCUCUAGCAAAAGACUGCUGUUUUAAAGAUGUACGCGGUAUGUCUGAAGACAUUGAAAACUUACAACGAGAGAAGACUGAGAGUUUGAAUAAGAUACGCGAGUAUCAAGAACAAAUGCAUGAAGCAAUGGAAAGAGCGCUUUCACUGGAAACUCAUAAUAAACAACUGCAACAAGAUCUUGAUGAACUAAAGGUUGCAGCUUUGGCAGUAGAAACACAAGCAAAUAGCGAAAUAGCACAACGUGAACAAGAGUUGGAAGAUUUACAAAAUGAGUUGAAGAAAUUGCGCAAUAGACCAGAGAAAGGUGAUAAUAGAACACAAAUUGGACGCAGAGCUGGAGGGGCUGGUGAUGGUGUAAACAACUCUAAUGACUCGUCAGCAGUGGCCGCCUUAAAUGCUGAUAAACGUCGUCUAAAUGAACGCAUUAAUGAACUUACACAAAGGGAUGCUGAGCUGAAAUCUGAAAAUGAGCGCUUGCUAAAAAAAUUGUCAAAGCUGAAAGGCAAAAUACAUGGCAUGCAAAAAGAGCUGCAAGAUAAUGUUCAACAAAAAGAACAACGCACCGAUGAAGAGAAAAUAAGAAUCAAGUCUGAACGUGACUUUUUCCAAAAAGAAUAUUUGCGCCUUAUAAGCAAAGCCGGAUCGGAAAAGGAAGUUGAGUUUCUUCAAUCACAAAUCAAAUCAAAAGAUGACGAGCUACGUCUUCUGCGCGCAGAUCUUUGUCUACGCCAACAAGAACGCCUAAUGCCAACAGUAAACACAGCCAAUGCAGCUACAGCCACUGCCACUGCAGCGUCGCUAGCAAGCGCACGCUCAAAUCAUUCCGCUAAGUCAACGUUCAGCGCUGCCAGUAGUGAUUGCGUACAAGCAGUGGUUCUGCGCGCGGAGCGUGAGCGUGAUUGCGCACGCGCCGAGUUAGAACGUGUGCGCUGUGAACGUGAUACAUUGCGUGAGAAACAUGUUUCCCUGCUGCAAACACAAUCGUUGGAAACGCAGAAGUCACAAACACAUAUUGGUGAGCUGAAUGCGCGCUUACGACAGUUGGAGCGAGAGAAUCGUGAGUUGAGUACCGCGCGAGUGCCACAUGAAACACACAUUGUACUGCUCAAAGAGGAGAUAGAUGAGCUUAAGCGGCAGAUUUUCGCUUUGCAAGAGGAAAAUACGAAAUUGCGCACGCGCAACAGCCAAUUUAAAAUUUUGAACGAGCAAACCGAACGUACACUGCAAGAGUAUCAAAGUAAACUUGCCAUUGCCGAGCGGCAACUGCAAACGUCUGAUACGCGUUUGAACGAUUUGGACUCGAAUCGUGAGGUCACACAUCGUGAAGCUGCACAGCUGCGCAAUGAAGUUGCAGCACUCAAGAAGACCUAUGUCUCACUGGAAAGUGAGAAAGACAAAAUAUUGACGCAAUUAGAUGCUAAAACGGAGCGUGCUUAUCAAUUGGAAUUUGAACUUAAACUUUGCAAAGAGAAACGUUUGGCGUUGGAAAAAGAGGUCAAGGAGUUGGAGGAGAAAUUAAGCCAAUUAACUGCGAAAACCCGUGAACGUACUGCCGAACUGCACGAAACCUCAACGGAAAGCAAAAGUUUGCGCCAGCAAAUCGCUGCACUGAAAAUCAGCCGAGACGAAGCUAUCGCGGAAAAUGGCCGUCUGUCGAACGAAUUGGCCGAACGUCAAGCAGAGAUUUUGACACUUAAGAAAAAACUGAAAGACUCCGAUUUUGAAAUCGAACAAUUGAAACAGCAAUUGCGUCAAUACGUAGCGGAGGUGAAGAAAGCCGAGGAUUUGUUAACGCAUAAGGAGAAGGAACGCGAGGAGAUGCUCGAGCAUUAUCGCAGUCUAUCACAUGAUGCCGUCAUAUUGGAGGGCAAUAAUCAGAGUCUAGAAGUUGAAGCAGCCGAGCACAAACGACAAAUCACCGAAUUAGAAGAUGAAAUAAAAGCGUUAAAGCAGGAAAUUUGCUCGCGCAAUGCACUUAUCGCACAAAUAGAGGAUAAGCUAACGGCGCUAAAUGCACAAAAUGCUAAGCUAGAGCGUGAACUUGAGGAUGCCUUGGAUGAACAACACUUGCUGAAAGUUGAUUUGGCCGCGCGCAAGGAACUUUGUGAUAAGCUCGAUGUAGAGCGCGAUAAAUUGAAUGCCGAGUUAACUGAACUGAAUGAGAUAAAGCGCAAGCUUGAACGUGACAAUGAGAAGCUGCGCGCGGAUUUGGAAAAGUCUUCGAAUGGGCAGAAAGUCUCCUCCGAAACGCUCGAGGAACUAUUGACAAAAACGCGUCGCGAUCUGGAGGAGCAAAUAAAAGUCGACAGUAAAUUGAGCCAGGAGUUAGUGCGUCAACGCCAGCAAAAUGACGAUUUAUUGCGUGAGUUAGACGCCGAACGCCAACGUCGUCAUCAACAGGAAACGCUGGCGCAGGAGUAUCAAAUACAAAAUCAGGAACUGCGUCACAAUCUCACCGAUGAUCGUUUUCGUCAGGCGCGUUCACGUGACCAAAGUCCACGCUAUCCCUCGCAGACAUUUACAAACAAAAAAAUAAUAAAGUGUGAACCAGCACAAAAACUGAGCAAACUAAACGCAGAUUUCAUUAAAACAAAAAAAAAAAAAAAAAAAACAAUUACAAAACAAAUCAUCAUCUCAGCUAUACUUAUACAUACAUAAAUUAGCGGUGCACAUACUUCACAUAUUUGCAACUUCGACCCAAUCAAAAUUAUGACAUUUCAUCAUCAUUCAUUGCACUCAUCAUCAUCAUCCUCAAUUUCGACGCAAUCCUCUCGCAGUUGAACACGAUAAUCAGGAUAGUAAAGUGUCACCAUAUUUAGAUAAGUUUUGAACAUACACGGACAGCCAGUGAAUUCCGGUACCUGCUGGUAUUCGCCGCCAUAAGCGAAGCUUAGGCGUCCUGUGAAUUAGGAAAUGUAUGCAGUGCUUGAGAAUUCUGCUGGUGAGCCCCUUGACAUGAUUAGACUGCGUUAUUUACUUUUACUACGUCAUAGAAAAUCAGCCAUAACUAACCAAUUGGAAACCUGUUUUCGGAGUAUUAGCGGCGAGUUAAGGGGUUACAUGAGUUUAUGGGUUUCAAAAAAUCAAACUUUUUUAUUGUCUUAUUAGAUUCUUGACCUCUAGAAUAUUCUCUAGCGCUCGAGGC
This 4411-nucleotide unclassified non-coding RNA is filed under the name Bactrocera tryoni. Its description in RNAcentral is "centrosomal protein of 135 kDa, transcript variant X1". The record is from RNAcentral. Lineage: Eukaryota; Metazoa; Arthropoda; Insecta; Diptera; Tephritidae.